UACGUAGGGUGCGAGCGUUAAUCGGGAUUACUGGGCGUAAAGCGUGCGCAGGCGGCGCGUUAAGACAGGUGUGAAAGCCCCGAGCUUAACUUGGGAAUUGCGCUUGUGACUGGCGUGCUGGAGUGUGGCAGAGGGAGGUGGAAUUCCACGUGUAGCAGUGAAAUGCGUAGAGAUGUGGAGGAACACCGAUGGCGAAGGCAGCCUCCUGGGCCAGCACUGACGCUCAUGCACGAAAGCGUGGGGAGCGAACAGG
This 253-nucleotide ribosomal RNA is filed under the name uncultured bacterium. RNAcentral describes it as "partial 16S ribosomal RNA". It matches the Rfam family "Bacterial small subunit ribosomal RNA", at positions 524 to 776 of the family's 1533-position model. The record is from RNAcentral.